AACGUUCAUCUUCACUAAAAAAGUUAGGAAGACGGAAGUAGGGAAAAUUUCCUGAAGGAACGCGCC
Molecule: non-coding RNA, 66 nt
Filed under: Stanieria cyanosphaera
Lineage: Bacteria; Bacillati; Cyanobacteriota; Cyanophyceae; Pleurocapsales; Dermocarpellaceae
Also listed under: 1 other name
Description: Glutamine-I sequence
Rfam family: Glutamine riboswitch aptamer (glnA leader)
Source: RNAcentral